Molecule: long non-coding RNA, 1340 nt
Filed under: Naja naja (Indian cobra)
Lineage: Eukaryota; Metazoa; Chordata; Lepidosauria; Squamata; Elapidae
Description: lncRNA (ENSNNAG00000010179.1)
Source: RNAcentral
GUUCUCCAGAACUGGUCAGAACCUGCUGAAUACCACCUCUGCUCCUCGGGGACCUCUUUCACCACUGCUGCCAGCCUUCACAAUCUCCGAAGGCAGCAUCCCACUCCCUGAUAGCCCUGGCCCCAUCCCUGCAUCACACGCAGGCCCCUCAUCUGAGUCCUCACUGUCCAAGACCUCAGCCGUCCGCACCUGCUGCCAGCGAACCACAACACAAUCCCAAUGGGGUGAGAUGGUCCUUCAAUGCUUUCAGCCUUGCAGGAGUCUAUUAAUGUAACCUUAGAACAGAGGUCUCCAAACUUGGCAACUUUAAGACUCGUGGACAGCAUAGCUGGCUGGAGAAUUCUGGGAGUUGAAGUCCACAAGUCUUAAAGUUGCCAAGUUUGGGGACCCUUGCCUUAGAAUGAAGAGAGAGCUAGCAGGCCUGGUUGGGCUUCUUGGCUUCUUGUCUAUAUCGCCUCGCAGGGCUUACCCCGUGUGUAACACCCACAACUUCCAGUUCCUCCCAUCACACCCACAAUUGUCACCGACUUAGAAGUCCUUGUAAGCUGUUAAAACAUCCCACUGAAUUAACUUUCUGAAAUUCACAGAUCUUGUUGUCGGGCCGCCCGAACUCUCUAUGGAAGAAAUCACCACUGCUGUGGUAAGGAGGAGAAAAUAUAUAUAUAUAUAUAUAUAUAUUCUUUUUAUUUAUUUUUUUAGUUUCUCUCUAUUCGAACCUUCCCAGCUACCCUGGAAAAAAAAUUCUCGGUGAACAUGGAUCGUAACGUUCUACAGCUACUCAGAGAGAUUGGGUGGGCUUCUGGGGUUGUGUGUGUGACUGACAAAGCAACGUGAGCUGAAAUUGAGACCCAAAGCGGAAUCUGACAGAACACUUAAUGUGUUGUGUUGUGUGCAUCUCCAGCCCAACACUCGCAUGGCGUCGGAGGGGUUCUGCAGCUGCGGGUUUUGCAAUGUCGGGUUUUGUUUUAUAAACAGAGAUCUAUAUUUUCUUCCCCACCCCACCCUCCUUCAGAUGAGCCUGGACUGCAAUACAAUUAUUUUGACCACAGCCGUAUAGCGCCAAAUUAUCAAAAAGGAGCCUGGCCUCAGUUUACCAAACCAAACAGAAAACUCUUCCAGAAGCUCAUCCUUUUCCUUCAAGAAGUCCAUCCUUUUCCUUCUGAGGACAUCAAGAUGGCAGCAUUUCCCUCAAAACCAAUUCCUCGCUUCAUCUUUUUUGUCAGCACAAGCCCUUACUGGAUGUGGUGUCCAUCUCCCUCAACAUUGUCACACUGACUGCUUCUCUUCGCUUUGCAUCCUCUGAAUAACCUAGAUCUGAAUGAAAUUUUGUAAAAUAAAAU